Molecule: small RNA, 214 nt
Filed under: Pongo abelii (Sumatran orangutan)
Lineage: Eukaryota; Metazoa; Chordata; Mammalia; Primates; Hominidae
Description: processed transcript
Source: RNAcentral
GAAAAAUAUAUUCAUGGGGAAGAGACGUAAUAGUUUUGAUGUUACGGCAGUUACUAAAGAAGCACCUGAACAGACACAUCACCUUCACUUUGGGAUGUGGAAUGUGCUAAGUAGUUAGCCACAGAAAGUGAACACCCCUUCAGAAUGGGUUUGAAGAGCUGAUCCAGUGGACGAAAGAGGGGAAACUGGGAGUUCCCAAUUAACAAUGAAGCAG